UACGGGGGGGGCAAGCGUUGUUCGGAAUUACUGGGCGUAAAGGGCUCGUAGGCGGCCCACUAAGUCAGACGUGAAAUCCCUCGGCUUAACCGGGGAACUGCGUCGGAUACUGGAUGGCUUGAGUUUGGGAGAGGGAUGCGGAAUUCCAGGUGUAGCGGUGAAAUGCGUAGAUAUCUGGAGGAACACCGGUGGCGAAGGCGGCAUCCUGGACCGUAACUGACGCUGAAACACGAAAGCGUGGGUAGCGAACAGG
Molecule: ribosomal RNA, 253 nt
Filed under: uncultured bacterium
Lineage: Bacteria
Description: partial 16S ribosomal RNA
Rfam family: Bacterial small subunit ribosomal RNA
Source: RNAcentral